GAUGAACGCUGGCGGCGUGCCUAAUACAUGCAAGUCGAGCGAACAGACGAGGAGCUUGCUCCUCUGACGUUAGCGGCGGACGGGUGAGUAACACGUGGAUAACCUACCUAUAAGACUGGGAUAACUUCGGGAAACCGGAGCUAAUACCGGAUAAUAUAUUGAACCGCAUGGUUCAAUAGUGAAAUACGGUUUUGCUGUCACUUAUAGAUGGAUCCGCGCCGCAUUAGCUAGUUGGUAAGGUAACGGCUUACCAAGGCAACGAUGCGUAGCCGACCUGAGAGGGUGACCAGCCACACUGGACCUAAGACACGGUCCAGACUCCUACGGGAGGCAGCAGUAGGGAAUCUUCCGCAAUGGGCGAAAGCCUGACGGAGCAACGCCGAGUGAGUGAUGAAGGUCUUCGGAUCGUAAAGCUCUGUUAUUAGGGAAGAACAAAUGUGUAAGUAACUAUCCACGUCUUGACGGUACCUAAUCAGAAAGCCGCGGCUAACUACGUG
RNAcentral lists this ribosomal RNA (497 nucleotides) under uncultured bacterium. Its description in RNAcentral is "partial 16S ribosomal RNA". It matches the Rfam family "Bacterial small subunit ribosomal RNA", at positions 28 to 507 of the family's 1533-position model. The record is from RNAcentral.